CCUACGGGAGGCAGCAGUGGGGAAUAUUGCACAAUGGGGGAAACCCUGAUGCAGCGACGCCGCGUGAGUGAAGAAGUAUUUCGGUAUGUAAAGCUCUAUCAGCAGGGAAGAAAAUGACGGUACCUGAUUAAGAAGCCCCGGCUAACUACGUGCCAGCAGCCGCGGUAAUACGUAGGGGGCCAGCGUUAUCCGGAUUUACUGGGUGUAAAGGGAGCGUAGACGGCACGGAAAGUCUGAAGGGAAAGGCCGGGGCUUAACCCCUGAACUGCUUUGGAAACUGCCAUGCUAGAGUGCUGGAGAGGGAAGUGGAAUUCCUAGUGUAGCGGUGAAAUGCGUAGAUAUUAGGAGGAACACCAGUGGCGAAGGCGGCUUACUGGACAGUAACUGACGUUGAGGCUCGAAAGCGUGGGGAGCAAACAGGAUUAGAUACCCUUGUAGUC
This 440-nucleotide ribosomal RNA is filed under the name uncultured bacterium. RNAcentral describes it as "partial 16S ribosomal RNA". It matches the Rfam family "Bacterial small subunit ribosomal RNA", at positions 338 to 795 of the family's 1533-position model. The record is from RNAcentral.